CUACUUUUAAAUCUUAUGGGAUGUGCAUAACUCUAAAUAGAGCUGUGCUGCAGCAACUAAAACUGCUGAUGAAUGUUUUCUAGGUUGAAGCUGAUCUGGGCUAUCCAGGUGGAAAGGCGAAAGUCAUCCAUAAGGAAUCUGAUAUGAUCAUGGCAUUUUCUGUUAAUAAGGUACAAGCUCUCAUCAUUAUAAACAGUGUAUUUCUCCUUAGUGAAAUUGCUUAAAUCAUUGAUUCUGCCUUUGCUUUAUAGGCAAAUUGUAAUGAAAUUGUUUUGGCUUCAACACAUGAUGUUCAAGAACUUGAUGUUACUUCUCUACUGGCCUGUCAGUCAUACAUAUGGAUCGGAGAAGAAUAUGACAGAGAAUCCAAAAGUUCAGAUGAUGUUGAUUAUCGUGGUUCCACUACAACUCUUUAUCAACCCAGUGCAACAUCCUAUUCAGCAAGUCAGGUGCAUCCACCUUCAUCUCUGCCAUGGCUGGGCACUGGACAGACUAGCACUGGAGCUAGUGUGCUUAUGAAAAGGAAUCUACAUAAUGUUAAGAGAAUGACUUCACACCCAGUCCAUCAA
Molecule: small RNA, 569 nt
Filed under: Pan troglodytes (chimpanzee)
Lineage: Eukaryota; Metazoa; Chordata; Mammalia; Primates; Hominidae
Description: retained intron
Source: RNAcentral